UAUUAUUAUUCUCCAUAAAGGAUUUUGAGAAAAGCAUCUCUCAUCCUAGUGAUGAAGAUCUGUAGAGAUAGAUCUAAGAGGCUGCUUAAGUUUUUCUAGUCCAACAUAUAUAGGGUGUUUAUGAGUAGGAUUUAUUCUAUCAUAUACAUCAUGUAAUAGAUCGGAUAUAGUAUACUUACUAGGGUAGUGAGUGGGUAUUUACA
This 203-nucleotide long non-coding RNA is filed under the name Elaeis guineensis (African oil palm). Its description in RNAcentral is "long non-coding RNA (EGUI_LNC036512)". The record is from RNAcentral. Lineage: Eukaryota; Viridiplantae; Streptophyta; Magnoliopsida; Arecales; Arecaceae.